GACGAACGCUGGCGGCGUGCCUAAUACAUGCAAGUCGAGCGCAGGAAGUCAUCCGAACCCUUCGGGGGGACGUUGACGGAAUGAGCGGCGGACGGGUGAGUAACACGUAAAGAACCUGCCCUCAGGUCUGGGAUAACCACGAGAAAUCGGGGCUAAUACCGGAUGGGUCAUCGGACCGCAUGGUCCGAGGAUGAAAGGCGCUUCGGCGUCGCCUGGGGAUGGCUUUGCGGUGCAUUAGCUAGUUGGUGGGGUAACGGCCCACCAAGGCGACGAUGCAUAGCCGACCUGAGAGGGUGAUCGGCCACACUGGGACUGAGACACGGCCCAGACUCCUACGGGAGGCAGCAGUAGGGAAUCUUCCACAAUGGACGAAAGUCUGAUGGAGCAACGCCGCGUGAACGAUGAAGGCCUUUCGGGUCGUAAAGUUUCUGUUGUAAAGGGAAAGAAACAAAGU
This 454-nucleotide ribosomal RNA is filed under the name Bacillus sp. oral taxon B77. RNAcentral describes it as "bacterial SSU rRNA". It matches the Rfam family "Bacterial small subunit ribosomal RNA", at positions 28 to 458 of the family's 1533-position model. Lineage: Bacteria; Bacillati; Bacillota; Bacilli; Caryophanales; Bacillaceae. The record is from RNAcentral.